GUGCAUGGUCGUCGUCAGCUCGUGUCGUGAGAUGUUGGGUUAAGUCCCGCAACGAGCGCAACCCUUGUUAUUAGUUGCCAGCAUUUAGUUGGGCACUCUAAUGAGACUGCCGGUGAUAAACCGGAGGAAGGUGGGGACGACGUCAGAUCAUCAUGCCCCUUAUGACCUGGGCAACACACGUGCUACAAUGGGAAGUACAACGAGUCGCAAACCGGCGACGGUAAGCUAAUCUCUUAAAACUUCUCUCAGUUCGGACUGGAGUCUGCAACUCGACUCCACGAAGGCGGAAUCGCUAGUAAUCGCGAAUCAGCAUGUCGCGGUGAAUACGUUCCCGGGUCUUGUACACACCGCCCGUCAAAUCAUGGGAGUCGGAAGUACCCAAAGUCGCUUGGCUAACUUUUAGAGGCCGGUGCCUAAGGUAAAAUCGAUGACUGGGAUUAAGUCGUAACAAGGUAGCCGUAGGAGAACCUGCGGCUGGAUCACCUCCUUUCUAAGGA
Molecule: ribosomal RNA, 497 nt
Filed under: Oenococcus oeni
Lineage: Bacteria; Bacillati; Bacillota; Bacilli; Lactobacillales; Lactobacillaceae
Description: bacterial SSU rRNA
Rfam family: Bacterial small subunit ribosomal RNA
Source: RNAcentral